This is a long non-coding RNA of Anneissia japonica, 1376 nucleotides long. RefSeq lists it as uncharacterized. The transcript is spliced from 3 exons. Lineage: Eukaryota; Metazoa; Echinodermata; Crinoidea; Comatulida; Comatulidae. The record is from RefSeq and is a predicted model, not a curated record.
UAUUGCUACAUUUCGGACUGGACUAGUUUAGUUCAUAUUAUUUAUUCAAGGCCUAGAGCUAGGCCUCCUAAGGGUAGAUAGUAGCCUAGCCUAGCCUACCCUAGCCUACCCUACUGUAGGUCUCAGGUGUAGCAGGGUAUCAGAGGCCAGGCUGACAGGCCUAAUACUGGUAGAAAGAGGAGAUAACUCAACUCGUCUCUGCAAAUCCUUUUCCACGCAUUGUCACAUAUUUUCUUUGCCCCCUUGUCACAGACCUAAACAAGAAUAGCCUACUCUUCCACAGAGUUUGCAUGAAACGGACUCGUCGGUCAUCGUUCGCACACGCACCUGUACAUUGUUUUGACAAUGGUCGUGAAUUUAUUGUUGACCUUUGACAUGAAUUGAAUCUAAGCCUUGCGAUUGGUCCAUCGGCCGCAAAUUCGCUCGCGAAUCCGAAAAAGUUGGUCUUGGAUCAACUCUUGUGAAUUCGCAGGCGAAGCCUCCGCGACCACCACGCGCACCGCGUCGAAGUUGGAAUAUUGGGUGUUCGCGUGUUCGACUACAAAUUCGUUUGCAUGUUCACAUUGGAAACGCCAGUCGCGUCUUCGGUUCAGCCGCGCGCGCCACAUUUCGACGCGAAAUUCGCUUGAUCGCGUUCAGUUGGAACCGGCCUUUAUGCAGACACUCGGUAAUGUGGCCUACAUGUAGGGCUAGCCUAGGCCUAGCACCCUAUGCAUAUAUUAUUAUAGGCCAACACUACAGUAGGUUUAAGCUAGUUAGUACUUAGACAGUACAGAUAGAUAGGUUUUGGUUUAAUUUUUCGAAAACAAAAAUGCCUGAUGCUAAUUAUUGAUAAUGAUUCAUCUGUUUUAAUUUCAGUUUUGGGUCAUCAAAAAAUAAACUGCUACAGUAUUACAAUACAAGAUUACUGGUAACUGAAUUUUAAAGCAAGUCUCUGAUGUCAGAUAUUUCUGUGUUACAUGGACUCUAAAUUGAACAAAUCAAGAUAUCUUGAAUGAUGGGAAUGCUUGUUACAUACAAGUUGCAAAGGUGUACACUACUUUAAAUAAGAAACAUACAGAACAAUGAUCCUUAAUCAAUGAAAGAAGCGUGCGAGAAUCAAACAUACAAUAAUGUACAUUGUGUGUGUGCUAUUUUGUAUUCCAGUAUAACACUGAAAAUAUUUUUGAAGUUUACUCUAUAUAAAAAUUAAUAAUGCAAAUCUAUAAUUUUUGACUACAUAAUGGUAAUUUUUUUGUAGGAUAAUUUAAAAUUCUAAUUAUUUAAUUGAUUUUCAUUUAAUUUGUGAGUAAAUUUCAAUGAAUAAGCUAAGCUACUUAUGUUUAAUUCAAUAAAUAUGUUUAUUUUAAUUGCAAAUCUAAGUUUAAUAGGCUAUG